GAUGAACGCUAGCUACAGGCUUAACACAUGCAAGUCGAGGGGCAGCAUGGUCUUAGCUUGCUAAGGCCGAUGGCGACCGGCGCACGGGUGAGUAACACGUAUCCAACCUGCCGUCUACUCUUGGACAGCCUUCUGAAAGGAAGAUUAAUACAAGAUGGCAUCAUGAGUCCGCAUGUUCACAUGAUUAAAGGUAUUCCGGUAGACGAUGGGGAUGCGUUCCAUUAGAUAGUAGGCGGGGUAACGGCCCACCUAGUCUUCGAUGGAUAGGGGUUCUGAGAGGAAGGUCCCCCACAUUGGAACUGAGACACGGUCCAAACUCCUACGGGAGGCAGCAGUGAGGAAUAUUGGUCAAUGGGCGAGAGCCUGAACCAGCCAAGUAGCGUGAAGGAUGACUGCCCUAUGGGUUGUAAACUUCUUUUAUAAAGGAAUAAAGUCGGGUAUGGAUACCCGUUUGCAUGUACUUUAUGAAUAAGGAUCGGCUAACUCCGUGCCAGCAGCCGCGGUAAUACGGAGGAUCCGAGCGUUAUCCGGAUUUAUUGGGUUUAAAGGGAGCGUAGAUGGAUGUUUAAGUCAGUUGUGAAAGUUUGCGGCUCAACCGUAAAAUUGCAGUUGAUACUGGAUAUCUUGAGUGCAGUUGAGGCAGGCGGAAUUCGUGGUGUAGCGGUGAAAUGCUUAGAUAUCACGAAGAACUCCGAUUGCGAAGGCAGCCUGCUAAGCUGCAACUGACAUUGAGGCUCGAAAGUGUGGGUAUCAAACAGGAUUAGAUACCCUGGUAGUCCACACGGUAAACGAUGAAUACUCGCUGUUUGCGAUAUACAGCAAGCGGCCAAGCGAAAGCGUUAAGUAUUCCACCUGGGGAGUACGCCGGCAACGGUGAAACUCAAAGGAAUUGACGGGGGCCCGCACAAGCGGAGGAACAUGUGGUUUAAUUCGAUGAUACGCGAGGAACCUUACCCGGGCUUAAAUUGCAGAUGAAUUACGGUGAAAGCCGUAAGCCGCAAGGCAUCUGUGAAGGUGCUGCAUGGUUGUCGUCAGCUCGUGCCGUGAGGUGUCGGCUUAAGUGCCAUAACGAGCGCAACCCUUGUUGUCAGUUACUAACAGGUUCCGCUGAGGACUCUGACAAGACUGCCAUCGUAAGAUGUGAGGAAGGUGGGGAUGACGUCAAAUCAGCACGGCCCUUACGUCCGGGGCUACACACGUGUUACAAUGGGGGGUACAGAGGGCCGCUACCACGCGAGUGGAUGCCAAUCCCCAAAACCUCUCUCAGUUCGGACUGGAGUCUGCAACCCGACUCCACGAAGCUGGAUUCGCUAGUAAUCGCGCAUCAGCCACGGCGCGGUGAAUAUGUUCCCGGGCCUUGUACACACCGCCCGUCAAGCCAUGGGAGCCGGGGGUACCUGAAGUGCGUAACCGCGAGGAGCGCCCUAGGGUAAAACUGGUGACUGGGGC
RNAcentral lists this ribosomal RNA (1449 nucleotides) under uncultured organism. RNAcentral describes it as "16S ribosomal RNA". It matches the Rfam family "Bacterial small subunit ribosomal RNA". The record is from RNAcentral.